GCUUGCUUUGGCAACACAUAUACUAAAAUUGGAAUGAUACAGAAAAGAUUAGCAUGGCCCCUGUGCAAGGAAGACACACAAAUUUGUGAAGCAUUUCAUUGUUUU
This is a small nuclear RNA of Lynx canadensis (Canada lynx), 105 nucleotides long. Lineage: Eukaryota; Metazoa; Chordata; Mammalia; Carnivora; Felidae. The record is from Ensembl.